GAAUUUUAUAUAAAUUUAAUAUUAAAGAUUUAAUUAAAAAUUUAUUAGGUUUAUAUUUCAUUGGGAGGAUGGUUAAAUUAAAAAAACUUUAAGAUAUAGAAACCAUUAAUUUGUGAUUAUGAAGAGAUAUGAAUGGUUAGAGAUAAAUUUAAGUAAAAUUAAUUACCUUAGGGAUAACAGCGUAAUAUUUUUAGAGAGAUCUUAUUAAUAAAAGUGUUUGC
This 221-nucleotide ribosomal RNA is filed under the name Pheidole fallax group sp. F GR-2021. Its description in RNAcentral is "partial large subunit ribosomal RNA". Lineage: Eukaryota; Metazoa; Arthropoda; Insecta; Hymenoptera; Formicidae. The record is from RNAcentral.